Podarcis lilfordi (Lilford's wall lizard) is the source of this 2565-nucleotide non-coding RNA. The record is from the annotation of a GenBank genome assembly. NCBI's taxonomy places the organism in Eukaryota, Metazoa, Chordata, Lepidosauria, Squamata, Lacertidae.
GAGCACAAGAACAACUCUAAAUCCCCAAGUAUAGGCAGACCACCCAUUAUGACUACAAGCCUUGACACAGACAGGCAGCAGCCAAUGAGCUGUUAAUCUUUUACCAUUCCCAUUUCUUAUUUGCAUAUGGGAGACCAACAAGGCAUAUUUUAAAAGCCACUGGCUGGGCUGGUAGGUGCAGAGGAAAUAAUUUCUUCUUUCAUAUGUAGCCCCUUUCAAAAGUUUUACCUUUACAAGUGGAGGUCAGAUUUUUAAAAGUCAAGGAAAUCAUGCAGCUGCUGCGUUCUGAAAGAAGAAACAUUUGAUAGCUGUGGAGCUCAGAGAUGAUGUACUAAUAGCCACAUGAUGGGUCAGUUGCCAUCCAGUAGAGUACCUGAGGGUGGAUUGCCAAGCUGUUAACAAUGGACAUUGGAAACAAAAAGAGCUAAUGGGUGGGUUGCUUUUUAAAAGGAGUGGGGCAAAUGGGUGGCUUCUAUGCUGAGUCAAAAUUCUUUGAGGAUGACCCUGCAUUAAGGGACUCAUCCUUUUAAAUAUGGAGUAUCUACUUAUCGUACCAGCAACCUUAGAUUGCAGCCUCCAGCUACUUACACUUGCAGUGGGUAAGCACAGGGAGGUGUAUACAUAAAGCUGUAUCCCUGCAGUAGGGGACAAGAUACCUUGGUACUUUAGGGCUCACCUGGAGGCCACUGUGACACACCGUACGGAAACCAUUGGUUGGCAUCUGUGUCUGUAUUGGGAGACAAUGGAGGAGUGCGCCUUUGGAAGGUUACAGCGCCUGUUGUGGCUAUAGAGACCAAUACAGGAGAGAGAUGCUUUAUUGCAGUUGGGCAGACGAAGGCAUACCAUGGUGCUGUUGCAGGUGUACCAUGGUGUUUCUUCUCUUUGUGCUCCUCCCAGCAAUCAUUCCUCCUCUGGUCACUGCUAUGGUCUGUCUUCAGGCGCUGCAGUCUGCAAGGGAUUCCCACACGGUGGGGUUUGAUGUUGCCUGCCUUCACAUCACAUUUGCAGACAUCUUCGUAAUGCAGAGCUGGUCUGCCAAUGGGCCUGGUGAGUAGGAAAUUGCCCAACUGUAUGUCUGCAAUGGCAGUUUUGUUCAGAUUAGAGUUAUCUGCUCUGCUUGUCUCCAUUUAAUGCUGUUUAUUCAUUAUUUUUAUUAUUUAUCAAAUUUAUAUACCGCCCUAUACCCGGAGGUCUCCUGUUACUGUUGAUCAUUUAAUUAACUUCUAUUAGAUUUUUUUUAGGGAUGCGGGUGGCGCUGUGGGUUAAACCACAGAGCCUAGGACUUGCCGAUCAGAAGGUGAGCAGUUCGAAUCCCUGCGACGGGGUGAGCGCCUGUUGCUCGGUCCCUGUUUCUGCCAACCUAACAGUUCGAAAAUGCAUCAAAGUGCAAGUAGAUAAAUAGGUACUGCUCCAGCGGGAAGGUAAACGGCGUUUCCGUGCGCUGGUCUGGUUCGCCAGAAGUGGCUUAGUCAUGCUGGCCACAUGACCCGGAAGCUGUACGCCGGCUCCCUCGGCCAAUAAAGCGAGAUGAGCGCCGCAACCCCAGAGUCGUCCACGACUGGACCUAAUGGUCAGGGGUCCCUUUACCUUUAUUCAGAUUUUUUAAUAUAAAGCACUGCCUCAUGCCACUGGCCCCUCUGGUAGGCAAGAUGAAGUUCCCUCGUGUCACAGAAAAAAUAUCCUUACUGGCAUUUAGGGAGUUAAAUCUAACUAAAACAUUGCACUCUAUUAUGUGGUAGCCGCUCAAAAUGCUUCUAUGUAGCUAAGUCACAUGGGUUGUAAUAAUAUUUAUUUACCAUAUGGACAGUUCCGAAGCACAUGGGGCAACUCUGCGCCAUCAGCCCCUUGGAACAGGCAGUGUUGGUUUUAAGACCAUCCACACAGAGUCAGGGUCAUCCACGUAGUAAGAGGAUUUCAGACAUUACAGUCCCUGCCUGGAAUGCUGCCAUGUGAAUUAGGAAUGGGCACAGCGUCUUUGCAUUAUCCGCACAGGUGAUGGCAUAUAAUUAUUGUAUUAUUGCCAUCAUGUUGUAACAAGGGGGAAUUUCAGGUUUGAGCACAUUAGCUUGGAGCGCAUCCCAUGUACAUUAUGUCAAAUGCUGCAGCCCAAAACACUUAGUCUUCACCUGGAAUAAGCCAUGCGGUAGAUUUAGAAAUUCAGUUUUUAAUUGCAGUCAGCUUUCCUGAUCUUCCUGCUGGUGGUUGGCAUCUCGUUAAAAAAUGCCACCCAGCAGUGUGCAGGCUUGGUGUCAAAGACUGUGUGCACGUCCCCAUCUGGCUCCAUAAUUACUACCUUCACAUCAGCAGAGGAAUGUUAAUAGGUAAUAUGUAAACACAAAAUCUUUUAUGUUUACCUAGUAAACAUCUGGAUGGAGAGCUUUGGAUAAUCUCCGAUUGGGCUAGAAAAACAAGGGUGGAACAGAAUCGUGGAGAAUGAAAGCAGGAGGACACCAGCAGAGCUCUGCAUGGGGGAAGGACUGGAGCGGCAAGGAGAAGGAGGCUUCUGAACAACUUUAGGGGCCAGCAGAACUCAAAUAAAAUAAGUCUAUGGCUAUAUUAGCAGCA